GACGAACGCUGGCGGCGUGCCUAAUACAUGCAAGUUGAGCGAUGAAGCUUGGUGCUUGCACCAAUUUGAAGAGCAGCGAACGGGUGAGUAACGCGUGGGGAAUCUGCCUUUGAGCGGGGGACAACAUUUGGAAACGAAUGCUAAUACCGCAUAACAACUUUAAACAUAAGUUUUAAGUUUGAAAGAUGCAAUUGCAUCACUCAAAGAUGAUCCCGCGUUGUAUUAGCUAGUUGGUGAGGUAAAGGCUCACCAAGGCGAUGAUACAUAGCCGACCUGAGAGGGUGAUAGGCCACAUUGGGACGGAGACACGGCCCAAACUCCUACGGGAGGCAGCAGUAGGGAAUCUUCGGCAAUGGACGAAAGUCUGGCCGAGCAACGCCGCGUGAGUGAAGAAGGGUUUCGGAUCGUAAAACUCUGUUGGUAGAGAAGAACGUUGGUGAGAGUGGAAAGCUCAUCAAGUGACGGUAACUACCCAGAAAGGGACGGCUAACUACGUG
This 497-nucleotide ribosomal RNA is filed under the name uncultured bacterium. Its description in RNAcentral is "partial 16S ribosomal RNA". It matches the Rfam family "Bacterial small subunit ribosomal RNA", at positions 28 to 507 of the family's 1533-position model. The record is from RNAcentral.